Molecule: ribosomal RNA, 253 nt
Filed under: uncultured bacterium
Lineage: Bacteria
Description: partial 16S ribosomal RNA
Rfam family: Bacterial small subunit ribosomal RNA
Source: RNAcentral
UACGGAGGGGGCUAGCGUUGUUCGGAAUUACUGGGCGUAAAGCGCACGUAGGCGGCUUUGUAAGUUAGAGGUGAAAGCCCAGGGCUCAACCCUGGAAUUGCCUUUAAGACUGCAUCGCUUGAACAUCGGAGAGGUAAGUGGAAUUCCGAGUGUAGAGGUGAAAUUCGUAGAUACUCGGAAGAACACCAGUGGCGAAGGCGACUUACUGGACGAUUGUUGACGCUGAGGUGCGAAAGCGUGGGGAGCAAACAGG